GUCUAUGGCCAUGCCACCCUGAACAAGCUUGAUGUCUGAUCUGAGAAGCUAAGCAGGGUCGGUCCUGGUUAGUAUUUGGAUGAGAGACCACCUAGGAAGACCAGGUGCUGUAGGCA
This 116-nucleotide ribosomal RNA is filed under the name Pteropus alecto (black flying fox). The record is from RNAcentral. Lineage: Eukaryota; Metazoa; Chordata; Mammalia; Chiroptera; Pteropodidae.